This is a non-coding RNA of Candidatus Yonathbacteria bacterium, 72 nucleotides long. Lineage: Bacteria; Candidatus Yonathiibacteriota. The record is from Rfam.
GCCCUUGUAAGCUAAUGGAUAAACUGUCGGGCUUCUAUCCCGAUCUUGGAGGUUCAAAUCCCCCCGAGGGCG